Molecule: non-coding RNA, 1792 nt
Organism: Nicotiana tabacum (common tobacco)
Lineage: Eukaryota; Viridiplantae; Streptophyta; Magnoliopsida; Solanales; Solanaceae
Source: RefSeq, a predicted model, not a curated record
UGAUACUUUAUCUUCUAUUCCUGUUAAAAGGUUUGUCCUUUGGUUCAAGGUCAUUGAAGGAUUGCGUCCUGCUUGGUUUGUUGUAAUUUGAUUUCUGAUUUGUUUUCAGUUUAGAAUUGAGAGGAUAUGAUAUAAAUAUUGUAGAGAAGACUAAAGUUUCUAUGGUGCAUUGAGCGGAUUCUAACCAAGAAUUCUAAAAUGUAAAUCUUUAUUUAUAUUUUUAUGUGAUGCUGCAGGAAAUGACAGGAAUUGGACGAGGUAAAGGUAGGCGAGGUGGAAAGGGUCGUGGAUGCGGUAAUGUAGGAGUACUACAUGAUAAUUCUAUUGCGGUCAUCCUUUAGACCUAAUCCACAAAACACAACUAUCUCCAGAUAUGGGACAAUCGAGUAACCCGCAUCAAGUACAAUCUAUGGACUCAUUAUCAUCAAGGGCUUAUGUAGAAAAUGUGCAUCCCACUCCAGAGACUGAAAAUAGUGGUGCAGGUAAUCUUUGUGAAAAUAGAGAUAACAAGAAAGGCUGAGGGAGAUACAAAUCUCUACAUAUGGAUAUGAAAACUAAGUAUGGCAGUAAAAUUCCCAUCAUCAUUCCGGAUGACAUUGUGAGAGCUAUAGGUCCAGGGUCUAGGGAUAUUGUAAACUACUGUGGCUUGAUUAUGGGGAGCACUAUCUCAUUCAGAGAUGGUGAUUGGAAAGCGAUAAUUGCGAAACAUGGAGAAGCGACGUGGUUGAAGGUUAAGGAUAAAUUUGAAGCUAGUGGUAUGCGAGAACAUGUGUUGCAAGUUCUUGUUGUUGACACUAUGCGAAGGCUUUUUAGAGCAUGGAAGACUCGAUUGCAUAAAGAAUACAAUCUCUAUACUACUGAUAAAGAGAGACUGUCUCAUAGGCCGGAUGAUGUUACGCCUGAGAAUUGAGUGUUUCUUGUAGGACUUUUUGGGAGUCCAAAAUUCAAGGCUGCAAGUGAGAGGAACAAACUUAAUAGGGGAAAACAGAUAACUAAUCACUCUUGUGGCUCAAAGUCAUUUGCCGAAGUGGAGGAAUCGACGAGAGAUCCUGUUAGUGGAAACAAAGCAGCACCAUAUCGAGUUUGGGAGCUCCAACAUACUCGUAAGGAUGGCAAAGGAAAAAUUGUAUGGUCGGAUCCAUAGUCGCAAAAAAUUCAUGGCCAACUCAAGGAAAUUGUAACUCAACAACAAUCUGAAGAAAAUGAGCAGCCAAUGAGUGCAGAUGAGAUUUUAGCCAUUGUACUUGGUGAACGAAAUGACUAUGUUUAUGGAAAAGGGUAUGGAAAGAAGCCUACAAAAAAGCAGUUUGCAGCAGGUAGACUUAGAGGCGAGUAUGUCUUCUCAAAUGGAAAGAAUAUGUCAAGAGAUGCAAGAGAAAAUGGAUAGAAAAUUACAAGAAGAACGUAAGCAAAUGGUUGCCGAGUUGAAAAGCAAGCUAGAAGAAGAAAUGGCUGCUGAGUUGCAAAGUAAGCUAGAAGAACAAAUGGUUGCUGAGCGUGCACAGAUAGAUUUACAAGUUGACAAAAAGUUUGAUGAAAAGAUAGAUGCAUGGCUGAUCAGAAUGCAACAGCAAGGACAAGACACUUCAAGAACGAGGAAGUGGAGUUGCUCAAGGUGUAGUUUGAAAAUAUUUUUAUGGUCGUUUUGUUUAUCGUAGAAGACAUUGGAGUAUGUCUUGAAGACUAUUCCUUUUUUGUUUGUGUCAUGAAAUGGAAAUGUAUAUACAUUGACUACUUUUGACUGUGUAGACUUUUUAACAUUAAAAAGACUAUAAUUCUGUUUUGAGAAUUA